UACGGGGGGGGCGAGCGUUGUUCGGAAUUACUGGGCGUAAAGGGCGCGUAGGCGGUUCGCUAAGUUGGAUGUGAAAACUCUGGGCUCAACCCAGAGCCUGCAUCCAAAACUGGCGGGCUAGAGUUCUGGAGGGGGUAGCGGAGUUCCUGGUGUAGCGGUGAAAUGCGUAGAUAUCAGGAGGAACACCGGUGGCGAAGGCGGCUACCUGGACAGAAACUGACGCUGAGGCGCGAAAGCUAGGGGAGCAAACAGG
This 253-nucleotide ribosomal RNA is filed under the name uncultured bacterium. RNAcentral describes it as "partial 16S ribosomal RNA". It matches the Rfam family "Bacterial small subunit ribosomal RNA", at positions 524 to 776 of the family's 1533-position model. The record is from RNAcentral.